Molecule: ribosomal RNA, 473 nt
Filed under: uncultured bacterium
Lineage: Bacteria
Description: bacterial SSU rRNA
Rfam family: Bacterial small subunit ribosomal RNA
Source: RNAcentral
ACUCCUACGGGAGGCAGCAGUGGGGAAGUAUUGCACAAUGGGCGCAAGCCUGAUGCAGCCAUGCCGCGUGUGUGAAGAAGGCCUUCGGGUUGUAAAGCACUUUCAGUCGUGAGGAAGGUAGUGUAGUUAAUAGCUGCAUUAUUUGUACGUUAGCGACAGAAGAAGCACCGGCUAACUCCGUGCCAGCAGCCGCGGUAAUACGGAGGGUGCGAGCGUUAAUCGGAAUUACUGGGCGUAAAGCGCAUGCAGGUGGUUUGUUAAGUCAGAUGUGAAAGCCCGGGGCUCAACCUCGGAAUUGCAUUUGAAACUGGCAGACUAGAGUACUGUAGAGGGGGUAGAAUUUCAGGUGUAGCGGUGAAAUGCGUAGAGAUCUGAAGGAAUACCGGUGGCGAAGGCGGCCCCUGGACAGAUACUGACACUCAGAUGCGAAAGCGUGGGAGCAAACAGGAUUAGAUACCCCUGGUAGCGACUGA